This 555-nucleotide ribosomal RNA is filed under the name uncultured eukaryote. RNAcentral's name for it is "bacterial SSU rRNA". It matches the Rfam family "Eukaryotic small subunit ribosomal RNA", at positions 6 to 565 of the family's 1831-position model. The record is from RNAcentral.
GGUUGAUCCUGCCAUAAGUCAUAUGCUUGUCUCAGAGAUUAAGCCAUGCCUGUCUAAGUAUAAACAACUUUGUACUGUGAAACUGCGAAUGGCUCAUUAAAUCAUCUAUAAUUUAUUUGAUUAUCAUUUACUACUUGGAUAACCGUGGUAAUUCUAGAGCUAAUACAUGCUAAAAAUCCCGACUUCUGGAACCGAUGUAUUUAUUAAAUAAAAAACCCAUGGGGGCAACCGCUUAUUAGUUGAUUCAUGAUAACUGUUCCAAUCUCAUGGCCUUGUGCUGGCGAUGUUUCAUUCGAAUUUCUGCCCUAUCAACUUUCAAUGGUAGGAUAGAGGCCUACCAUGGUGUUAUCGGGUAACGGGGAAUUACGGUUCGAUUCCGGAAAGGGAGCCUGAUAAACGGCUACCACAUCCUCGGAAGGCACCAGGCGCACAAAUUACCCAUUCCCGAUACGGGGAGGUAGUGACUGUAAAUAACAAUACAGGGCUUUCUAGUCUUGUAAUUGGAAUGAGUACAAUUUGAUCCCUUACGAGGAGCAAUUGGAGGGCAAGUCUGGU